Molecule: long non-coding RNA, 977 nt
Filed under: Sorghum bicolor (sorghum)
Lineage: Eukaryota; Viridiplantae; Streptophyta; Magnoliopsida; Poales; Poaceae
Description: long non-coding RNA (SBIC_LNC000770)
Source: RNAcentral
UCAAACCCUAGCUCUAAAUGCCUCUCCUCUCUACUCCCUCCUCACUCCUAUUUGAAACCCCCAUCCCAACAUAACUAAAACAUUAUUAAUAUUAAAAUAUGCAAAUGUAUUACAAAUAGAAUAUAUUAAGCAAUUUAGUUGCUCUAAUAGUGUCGAAGGAGUAUGAAAAAAAUAUAGUUACUAAUGAAUGAAAAACUUUUUAAAAGUUGAAAGAACAGAAAACAUUACCUACUUGUUGGGCAUCAAGAACAUUCUUCUCUCCUUUUUCCUUCACCUCUCUCAUUUCCUUUAUCCUCAUGAAUAGGUACUGCUUAAUGUUAUCCCGAUCGAACGCGCUCUCAGUAACCACUUUUAAUUGCAAGAUGUUGCAUUGAACCAAUUCUAGCUGCUUUAAGAGGCAAAAUCUUCAAAUAAAGUGGCUAAUAAUCUUUUUUGUUUGUGGUGGAAUAACUUGGGAAGCCACUGGUAAAUUCACAUGAUCUAGUAUUAUACUUUCUAAGGAUGGAUAAAAUAUUUUGCCGGUGCUCAUAAAAGUCGGUGGAAUUCAGCCGGUCCACAUCAACUCUAGGAUGCUAAAAUUUAAAUUCUCAAAUACCCUAUGUUAUAACAUGCGACUCCGUUACAAGUUUGUAGUAGUUGUGUUGUUGUCCCAUGUGGCACAUGAGGAGUUGUUAAUGCUGGAUUUGUACCACCUUGUAAGUUUAGGAGGGUGAGGGUCAUCUUAUAAUCCUUAUUGUUUCAAACAUAGCACCUCCGAGUUUACCCUUUACACGAAGUGAUGACAAAUGUGUAAGGGGUGCUAGCCCUUUUCAGUAGUGAUGAUAAAAGUGUGCUAGCCAUGUAAGAGAGGUAGUGAUGAUAAAAGUGUAAGAGAGGUGCUUGCCCAACUUGCUUCAUAUAUUUCAUUCUGGUGCUAACUCUCCCUUUAUAGCGCCAUGAACUUUAUAUCAAAUUUCAUAAGUUUAAAUGAAAACUCC